Cricetulus griseus (Chinese hamster) is the source of this 867-nucleotide non-coding RNA. The record is from RefSeq and is a predicted model, not a curated record. NCBI's taxonomy places the organism in Eukaryota, Metazoa, Chordata, Mammalia, Rodentia, Cricetidae.
GUCAUGAUUCUGAGAUCAGACCCUUCUGCAGGGCUUACUGUGACUGUGUCAUGAGUGUUGGUGUUGUCUAUGCUGACAGUUGGCCUGGCACAUCCUCCCAGGCCAAAUCUAAGUCUGCAUGUCUCUGGGAACCUGCAGUUACUUUCUAGCUUCCCCCGUGUAUGUAUUUAAUUGCUUGAAUGCCUGCAACCUUAAAUAUCUAGCUUCUAAGAGAGGAAAAGAAGAAACAGAAGUGUGCGUAAGUGCCCUGGCCCUUACAUUGUCUAAAAGACACCCUAACCAGAGUGAUGUUCAAUCUCAGUGGCUUGGCUGCUGUAUCCCACUGGGGCUACAAACAGCAUCGAGAGCACAGGUCUUUGAUGAUUGGGGGAUAAGUCUUUUCACCUGUAAACUGCUCUGGAAUCCAUAAUAACUGAUUGUCUAGAGGCAAGGGUAGGCAGCUUAUGCUGUGCCAACCGCUACAUUGACCAGAAUUAACCAGUUUGUUAUCCAACCCUCCCCUGGAACUCAAAGACCCUCAACUGAUUCCAGAGUUCCACACUAAUUGCAUAACACAGGGCAAGUUGAUGUUGAAGUGCUCCCUAGCAUUUCUCUUUCCACCAUCUUCCUAGAAUUUUUCCACACCUUGGCCUCUGCAACCAGUGAAGAUCAUUCUAGAGGGUCCUCUGGCCAGCUGAUAACCUCCAGCUUGGAGCUUUUUCCAAAUGAGCUUUUGUCCUGUGAUGUUGAAAGUUUUAAUACCAUUCUCUGCACAUCACCGUACCAUGAGGGAGGACUACAGUGAUAAGGGAAAGGUUGGCCACUGGAGCCGCAGCCCUCUACGGCCACCACGGGAGCGCUUUGAGCUGGGAGACAACCGUAAGCCAG